Molecule: long non-coding RNA, 1194 nt
Organism: Diprion similis
Lineage: Eukaryota; Metazoa; Arthropoda; Insecta; Hymenoptera; Diprionidae
Exons: 2
Source: RefSeq, a predicted model, not a curated record
UAUUAAAAUCAUUGCUGUUUCUUUAUACAGUAAUGCUGCAUUAUUUUUAUACGCAAAAUCUAUAAUUAAUUAUUGGUGGCGGCUAUAAUAACUAUUGGUAUACAUAUAUGUAUAUAGGUGAUAAUGCAUACACCACUAUAUCUUUACUAAUUAUUACCAAUCAAUAUUAUUAUGCACAUGUGAAUUUAUCAAAUACGUUAACUUUCGUAUGCAAAACCUAAAUGACGAAAAUAUUACCGCGAUACCUCUUGUUCCUCCUGCUUCUUAGGUAAGCAUGUUGCGGACUGCUUUAAUAAUAUGUCGUUAACUUUGGCACACGUUUCAAUGAGCAUUUACACCAAGAAUGUAUCAAGUAAGCAAAUAUGGUUGGAUGUAAUGAAAAACGAUAAAACAAAUGUGUACCCGAUUCUUUGUGAAGUUAAAUCGGCAAAAUGAUUGGAAUGGCGUUAUUUUCAACUUGAGCCAGUUGUAAUAUGAUUAAAAAAAAUUGAUGCCACGAAUCAUCGGACCCAAAUUGAUAUUUUUUUUAGUACGGUUCGAAAUUCGAAGUCGAAUGUGUGUAAGAUUUUUUACAAAGUGAGAAUGUAUCUGAUACAAAAAAUCUCUGCCAAACAAUUCUAACUACCCGGAAGUGUUAUAAACCUUCAAUUAUUUAGGGACUUUAAUUUUUGCGAAUAAAAACUAACAUGAAAGAUGUAGCAAAAUUUUAUAUUAUGUAUAUAUUUAACUUGGUACAUGCCACGUCUUUUACAAAUAUCAGUUGACGAUGAUACAAGUGGUGCCAAAGUGAUACUACAGAGCUUGUAUUUCACUUUCACUAUGCAUACUCUUUCGGGUAUAAGAAUUAAUGAUUUCUCAUGUGGAUUUUCUAAAUAUGCUUGAGCUACAGAUAUAAAUGUACAAAUAUGUAAAUUUACAGGAGUUGUUAAAUUGUUAGAUUUUUAAAAAAAAAGUAUUGAAAUAUUCUUGCCUAAAGUUAUAUUUCAUUUUCAGAAAUAUCUAUGGUUCGAGUUCUAACUUUUUACAUAGCUCGCAUAGAGCGACCAAAUGCAUUUCAGCAUUAUUAUUUAAGAUUGUAAUGUAGUUUCACCAUUCAUUAGCAAAAUCCUUCUGCCUAUAAUACAAUGUUUUAUCAUUGACCGAUUGCCAAGUUAUAACAAUAAAAUGUGUCAAUGUCAAUUAUGCCUAAUGUAU